GACGAACGCUGGCGGCGUGCUUAACACAUGCAAGUCGAACGGAAAGGCCUCUUUCGGGGGGUACUCGAGUGGCGAACGGGUGAGUAACACGUGAGUAACCUGCCCUUGACUUUGGGAUAACUUCAGGAAACUGGGGCUAAUACCGGAUAGGAGCUCCUGCUGCAUGGUGGGGGUUGGAACGUUUCGGCGGUUGGGGAUGGACUCGCGGCUUAUCAGCUUGUUGGUGGGGUAGUGGCUUACCAAGGCUUUGACGGGUAGCCGGCCUGAGAGGGUGACCGGCCACAUUGGGACUGAGAUACGGCCCAGACUCCUACGGGAGGCAGCAGUGGGGAAUAUUGCACAAUGGGUGGAAGCCUGAUGCAGCAACGCCGUGUGCGGGAUGACGGCCUUCGGGUUGUAAACCGCUUUCGCUCAUGACGAAGCUUUGUGUGACGGUAGUGGGUAAAGAAGCACCGGCUAACUACGUG
This 467-nucleotide ribosomal RNA is filed under the name uncultured bacterium. RNAcentral describes it as "partial 16S ribosomal RNA". It matches the Rfam family "Bacterial small subunit ribosomal RNA", at positions 28 to 507 of the family's 1533-position model. The record is from RNAcentral.